CCUACGGGUGGCAGCAGUGGGGAAUAUUGCGCAAUGGGCGAAAGCCUGACGCAGCGACGCCGCGUGAGGGAUGAAGGUCUUCGGAUCGUAAACCUCUGUCAGCAGGGAAGAACGGUCACUGUGCUAAUCAGCAGUGAAUUGACGGUACCUGCAAAGGAAGCACCGGCUAACUCCGUGCCAGCAGCCGCGGUAAUACGGAGGAUGCGAGCGUUAUCCGGAUUUAUUGGGUUUAAAGGGUGCGUAGGCGGAAUAUCAAGUCAGCGGUAAAAAUUCGGGGCUCAACCCCGUCGUGCCGUUGAAACUGAUGUUCUUGAGUGGGCGAGAAGUAUGCGGAAUGCGUGGUGUAGCGGUGAAAUGCAUAGAUAUCACGCAGAACUCCGAUUGCGAAGGCAGCAUACCGGCGCCCAACUGACGCUGAAGCACGAAAGCGUGGGUAUCGAACAGGAUUAGAUACCCUGGUAGUC
This 464-nucleotide ribosomal RNA is filed under the name uncultured bacterium. RNAcentral's name for it is "partial 16S ribosomal RNA". It matches the Rfam family "Bacterial small subunit ribosomal RNA", at positions 338 to 795 of the family's 1533-position model. The record is from RNAcentral.